This 301-nucleotide ribosomal RNA is filed under the name uncultured bacterium. Its description in RNAcentral is "partial 16S ribosomal RNA". It matches the Rfam family "Bacterial small subunit ribosomal RNA", at positions 509 to 807 of the family's 1533-position model. The record is from RNAcentral.
CAGUAGCCACGGUAAUACGUAGGGUGCGAGCGUUAAUCGGAAUGACUGGGCGUAAAGGGCGCGUAGGCGGUUUGUACAGUCAGAUGUGAAAUUCCUGGGCUCAACCUGGGGGCUGCAUUUGAUACGUGCGAGCUAGAGUGGGGAAGAGGGUCGUGGAAUUCCCAGUGUAGAGGCGAAAUUCGUAGAUAUUGGGAAGAACACCGGUGGCGAAGGCGGCCAUCUGGGACAACACUGACGCUGAGGCACGAAAGCGUGGGGAGCAAACAGGAUUAGAUACCCCGGUAGUCCCUGUCUCUUAUAC